Molecule: ribosomal RNA, 253 nt
Filed under: uncultured bacterium
Lineage: Bacteria
Description: partial 16S ribosomal RNA
Rfam family: Bacterial small subunit ribosomal RNA
Source: RNAcentral
UACGAAGGGUGCAAGCGUUACUCGGAAUUACUGGGCGUAAAGGGCGCGUAGGCGGCCCUCCUUGUCGCGUGUGAAAGCCCCGGGCUCAACCUGGGAAUUGCGCGCGAAACGGGGGGGCUUGAGUUCGGGAGAGGAGCGUGGAAUUCCCAGUGUAGAGGUGAAAUUCGUAGAUAUUGGGAAGAACACCGGUGGCGAAGGCGGCGCUCUGGACCGAGACUGACGCUGAGGUGCGAAAGCGUGGGGAGCAAACAGG